GACGAACGCUGGCGGCGUGCUUAACACAUGCAAGUCGAACGGUAAGGCCCUUCGGGGUACACGAGUGGCGAACGGGUGAGUAACACGUGGGUGAUCUGCCCUGCACUUCGGGAUAAGCCUGGGAAACUGGGUCUAAUACCGGAUAGGACUCCGGACUGCAUGGUCUGGGGUGGAAAGCUUUUGCGGUGUGGGAUGGGCCCGCGGCCUAUCAGACUGUUGGUGGGGUGAUGGCCUACCAAGGCGACGACGGGUAGCCGGCCUGAGAGGGUGACCGGCCACACUGGGACUGAGAUACGGCCCAGACUCCUGCGGGAGGAAGCAGUGGGGAAUAUCGCACAAUGGGCGCAAGCCUGAUGCAGCGACGCCGCGUGAGGGAUGACGGCCUUCGGGUUGUAAACCUCUUUCAGCAUCGACGAAGCGAAAGUGACGGUAGGUGCAGAAGAAGGACCGGCCAACUACGUGCCAGCAGCCGCGGUAA
Molecule: ribosomal RNA, 478 nt
Filed under: uncultured bacterium
Lineage: Bacteria
Description: partial 16S ribosomal RNA
Rfam family: Bacterial small subunit ribosomal RNA
Source: RNAcentral